AACGACUCUCGGCAACGGAUAUCUCGGCUCUCGCAUCGAUGAAGAAUGUAGCGAAAUGCGAUACUUGGUGUGAAUUGCAGAAUCCCGUGAACCAUCGAGUCUUUGAACGCAAGUUGCGCCCAAAGCCUUCCGGCCGAGGGCACGUCUGCCUGGGCGUCACGC
This 162-nucleotide ribosomal RNA is filed under the name Opuntia acaulis. RNAcentral describes it as "5.8S ribosomal RNA". It matches the Rfam family "5.8S ribosomal RNA". Rfam says of the family: 5.8S ribosomal RNA (5.8S rRNA) is a component of the large subunit of the eukaryotic ribosome. It is transcribed by RNA polymerase I as part of the 45S precursor that also contains 18S and 28S rRNA. The record is from RNAcentral. Lineage: Eukaryota; Viridiplantae; Streptophyta; Magnoliopsida; Caryophyllales; Cactaceae.